Molecule: unclassified non-coding RNA, 431 nt
Filed under: plant metagenome
Description: partial contains 5.8S ribosomal RNA, internal transcribed spacer 2, and large subunit ribosomal RNA
Rfam family: 5.8S ribosomal RNA (bases 1-102)
Source: RNAcentral
AAACUGCGAUAAGUAGUGUGAAUUGCAUUUAGUGAAUCAUCGAAUCUUUGAACGCACCUUGCACUCACUGGUAUUCCGGUGAGUACGCCUGUUUCAGUAUCAUUGAAAACACACAAUCAAAACAUUUUCUUUGGUUUGAUUGGCUUUGUGUCUAUCAAAAAGUUUGGCUUGUUUCUUACAAACCAAGCGGCCUGAAAUAUAUUGUCUGGCUAAUUGCAUCGUUGAUGAUCGCUAUUAGACUUUGGCUUUUUUAAAUGAACUGGAGGUUGAUUAACCAGUUUUAGCUUUAGUCAAAUGGUCAUUGUAAAAAAAAUCUCGAUCUUGGCUAGGUGUUUAUAGCCGAAAAUUUUUUUUUGGCUAUAACCGAAACCAAUAUAAUCACAUUUAGUUAUCGAUCUGAAAUCAGGUGGGACUACCCGCUGAACUUAAGC